Molecule: non-coding RNA, 1380 nt
Organism: Macaca mulatta (Rhesus monkey)
Lineage: Eukaryota; Metazoa; Chordata; Mammalia; Primates; Cercopithecidae
Source: RefSeq, a predicted model, not a curated record
AUGGUCAGCUCCUGUUGUGGUUCCGUCUGCUCUGACCAGGGCUGUGGACUGGAGACCUGCUGCCGCCCCAGCUGCUGCCAGACCACCUGCUGCAGGACCACCUGCUGCCGCCCCAGCUGCUGUGUGUCCAGCUGCUGCAGACCCCAGUGCUGCCAGUCUGUGUGCUGCCAGCCCACCUGCUGCCGCCCCAGCUGCUGCAUCUCCAGCUGCUGCCGCCCCAGCUGCUGUGUGUCCAGCUGCUGCAGACCCCAGUGCUGCUAGUCUGUGUGCUGCCAGCCCACCUGCUGCAGGACCACUUGCUGCCGCCCCAGCUGCUGUGUGUCCAGCUGCUGCAGACCCCCGUGCUGCCAGUCUUCCUGCUGCAGACCCAGCUGCUGUCAGACCACCUGCUGCAGGACCACGUGCUGUCGCCCCAGCUGCUGUGUGUCCAGCUGCUGCAGGCCCCAGUGCUGCCAGACCACCUGCUGCCGCCCCAGCUGCUGUGUGUCCAGCUGCUGCAGGCCCCAGUGCUGCCAGUCUGUGUGCUGUCAGCCCACCUGCUGCCGCCCCAGCUGCUGUCAGACCACCUGCUGCAGGACCACCUGCUGCCGCCCCAGCUGCUGUGUGUCCAGCUGCUGCAGGCCCCGGUGUUGCCAGUCUGUGUGCUGCCAGCCCACCUGCUGCCGCCCCAGCUGCUGCAUCUCCAGCUGCUGCCGCCCCUCUUGCUGUGAAUCCAGCUGCUGCCGCCCCUGCUGCUGCCUGCGUCCAGUCUGUGGCCGAGUCUCCUGCCACACCACUUGCUAUCGCCCAACCUGUGUCAUCUCCACCUGCCCCCGCCCCUUGUGCUGCGCCUCCUCUUGCUGCUGAGCCCCCUGCCCUGGCUCACCUCCCCCUUCACCACUGGCCCACAGAUGUAGACCCUUCUUCUGUGUGGCUAUGAGGACACAUGGAGUGGGGUUGAUGUCAUUCAGCAGGGUUGUUUCCAAUGAGCCCAUCACCAUCCCGCUGACUCUGUGAGAACAUUCUGGUUCAUUGUAAACUCCCUCCCUUGCUUUCUUUUUCUUCCAGUCAUGGCACCAAAUGUGAAUUAAUUUGUAAUUCACUAGCUAAGAAAUGAUUCCAAUCCUCUAAAUUCCUCAUUUUUUAAAUCAUUUUGAGCCGAUAGAGUAUCCUUCCCAAUGAGGUAGACAUUAUCUCCCUAUCAAACAUAUUAUUUGUCUGUCAGCCAUUCAGUCAUUCUUUCCUCUUGCAAAGGUAGGAGGCUCCGCCUCCCAUGCUCUCCUGCUUUCUCCCUGCUCUCUCUUUGCCUUUCUGUUUGAUCACGUUUGCCAGCAUUUUUCUAUUUUAUUAGUUCUUUAUUGUGUUCACAAAAUAUAUUUUAUUAAACUUUUCAUGUAGAAA